This 468-nucleotide ribosomal RNA is filed under the name uncultured bacterium. Its description in RNAcentral is "partial 16S ribosomal RNA". It matches the Rfam family "Bacterial small subunit ribosomal RNA", at positions 28 to 507 of the family's 1533-position model. The record is from RNAcentral.
GACGAACGCUGGCGGCGUGCUUAACACAUGCAAGUCGAACGGAAAGGCCCUGCUCUUGUGGGUUGCUCGAUUGGCGAAGGGGGGAGUAACACGUGAGUAACCUGCCCUUGACUUUGUGGUAACUUCAGGAAACUGGGGCUAUUACCCGAUAGAAUCUCUUGCUGCAUGGGGGGGGUUGGAGAGAUUCGGUGUUUGUGGAUGGACUCGAGGCUUAUGAGCUGGUUGGUCGGGUAGUUGCUGCCCAAGGAUGUGACGGGUAGCCGGCCUGAGAGGGUGGACGGCCACAUUGCGCCUAAGGUACGGCCCAGAAUCCAACGGGCGGCAGCGGUCGAGAAUCUUGCGCAACGGGCGCAAGCCUGAUGCAGAGGCCCCGCGUGCGGAAUACCCGCCUUCGAGUUGUAAACCGCUUUCGAAUGUGCCGAAGCGUGAGUGACGGUAAUGGGUAAAGAAGCACCGGCUAACUACGUG